Long non-coding RNA from Vombatus ursinus (common wombat), 1125 nucleotides. RefSeq lists it as uncharacterized. The record is from RefSeq and is a predicted model, not a curated record. NCBI's taxonomy places the organism in Eukaryota, Metazoa, Chordata, Mammalia, Diprotodontia, Vombatidae. The transcript is spliced from 2 exons.
CCACCUAGCUGCCCAGUCUAUGGCACUAUGGCACCACCUAGCUGCCCCUCAAUCUGGGAUUCUUUCAACUUCUCUAUGUUCCAGGUUAACUGGACCUGCCAAGUAGAUCCACCCUGCUCCCACUUCUCCUGAACCUUCUGCCCUGCUCAUAGGACAAACCCCAAGGAAUUUGUUCUGUGAAGUUUGAAUUUAGUCAAAGGGCCAAAUUUGAGGACCUAGAGGGCCACAUGUGCCCUCAAGACUGUAGGUUUGCCACCCCUGGACUAGACCAAGAAAACACAGAGAAAACCAUUGUGCUUCAAGUGACACAUUUUCGAGGGCAUUAUGAGUUUGAUUUUUCAGAGUAUCCAAAGAAGGAAAAAUGUGGAACUAUUAUCACAGGUAUUACGACUGCCCCAAGGUGGCAGUCAAGGGAACAUCAAUCAGAUAACUACUUUAGCUCUCUGAAGAAUGAUCCACCCCCAUAUUGAAGAUUUCUUUGAUACAAAUAUGAGAAAGGAAGAGGAGUAAGGAGGCUUUUGCAAAAGAUCUUCUACAGCAAACCACAUCUUCAAAAUUAGACACCUGACUGGAAGGUGCAGAGAAUAGAGAUCUCACCAUGUUUAUUUGAUGCAGAAGAGUUAAAUGCAGCCAUAAAGGCUUUUGAAUAUCUCCUUUGCAUCACCUGUGAUUGUCCACAAUCCCUUCAUAGAUGCCACAAGAGAGAUGAUGGUGGUGGUUCUUCCCUGCCAAGGAGAAGUGUUGUGGAAUAGAAGAGGAGCCCUGAACUUGAAUUCACGGGACCAGAGUUCCAUUAUCUCUACCAAUUAUUACCUGUGUGACCCCUGACCAGUCACUUCCUUUGUCUGGACUUCAGUUUCCUCACCUGUAAAAUCAGAGGAUUGAACUAGACAACUUCUGAGCUUUAGUUUCUGUGAGGCAUAACUCAGGAAUAAGUGUGCCCACCAAAGAUACUACCUUUAGUACAUGAUUUUAUAGAGAUAAAGCAGGCAGAGUGGUUGAUGGUUACUACGGUCCAGUUGAUCAACUAUUUUUUGGCAGUAAUACCAAAUUGUUUUUCCAAUUGUUCAGUGUUUUCUCCUUUUUUCAAGUAUUUUGAGAAUUAAUCCCAUAUUUUGAAUUGUA